RNAcentral lists this non-coding RNA (30 nucleotides) under Mus musculus (house mouse). The record is from RNAcentral. Lineage: Eukaryota; Metazoa; Chordata; Mammalia; Rodentia; Muridae.
UAAAGAUUGAUCUCAGCAGUAAAUAAGUCU